UACGGAGGGUGCAAGCGUUAAUCGGAAUUACUGGGCGUAAAGGGUGCGUAGGCGGUUGUUUAAGUCUGUUGUGAAAUCCCCGGGCUCAACCUGGGAAUGGCAAUGGAUACUGGACAGCUAGAGUGUGUCAGAGGAUGGUGGAAUUCCCGGUGUAGCGGUGAAAUGCGUAGAGAUCGGGAGGAACAUCAGUGGCGAAGGCGGCCAUCUGGGACAACACUGACGCUGAGGCGCGAAAGCCAGGGGAGCAAACGGG
RNAcentral lists this ribosomal RNA (253 nucleotides) under uncultured bacterium. RNAcentral's name for it is "partial 16S ribosomal RNA". It matches the Rfam family "Bacterial small subunit ribosomal RNA", at positions 524 to 776 of the family's 1533-position model. The record is from RNAcentral.